This is a long non-coding RNA of Mauremys reevesii (Reeves's turtle), 3492 nucleotides long. RefSeq lists it as uncharacterized. Lineage: Eukaryota; Metazoa; Chordata; Testudines; Geoemydidae. The record is from RefSeq and is a predicted model, not a curated record. The transcript is spliced from 7 exons.
GUUCCUGACUAGCUAAGGGAACUGCAGCACCAUAGGCAGCUCAGUGCUAGCAGGGAAUGAGAGCUCCUGGCUGGCUUCUGGGCCUGAACACAGAGGAGCCCUGAGGUUUGAGAUGGCUAUUCCCUGCUCUUCACAGCUAUUCGUCUGGGUGUACUUAGAGCGCAGAAGCAGAUCAGAGGCUCUUGGGACACAUUGCAUCAGGCCUGCAGUUAAGAAGCUGAAAGAAAAAAUCUGAGUGACACGGGAACAUGAUAGCAGCCAUCAAUCACUGCCGACUGUCUGACCUUGGUCCAUAAUAUGGGCUUCACCUUAAUUUCUGAAGAGGGCUUUCUUGCCUGUUGGAAGCUGAAAAAUACCACUCUGCAAGCACAGAUAUUCAUUUCAACUCUUUGCUGACAUGAGAGGGACUGAAAGAGGCAUCUGAGGAAAAGUAGCUUCUUUAGGUCUUGGCCCUGCGAUCCCUUGCGGGUGCACAGCAGGGAGUUCCAGCUUGUUGUGCUUCAGUGGCUACACAUGGGUGAAAUCAGGGACACUAAAUCGCUGUGAGCCACAGGCAGAGAACAGGCAAGACUGAGAUGCCACCACUGCACGAGACCCCUUCAGCUGCACAGGACUGAUUAGGACAAGAAGUAUAAAAGGAGGAUCCUGUAGCUCAGUUGGGGCUGGAACAGGGAAGGAGGCAGACGUCUCUUCUAGGAAGCAGAGCCCUCUCCAGGCUCCUGGACCAGUGGCCAAGCAGACUAGCAUCCUGCUGCCUGAGGAGACUGAAGGCUCUGAGAAGUUACUGGAGAGGAUGCCACCCACCUGCCAAGCAGCAAGAUGGAUCCUGGUGUUGACAGAGCAACAAAGGCAGAAUUAGGUAGGAAGUAGCCAUGGGGAGCCAGACUUUGGUGCAGUUGCACUGCUGGCAAGUGAGACAGUGUGUAUGGUUUUCCUUGCUGACUGAGGGGCGGGACCACCUGCCACUAACUGUGACCUGGUGGAGUACGGUGGGCCUGGGUCUCCCUACCCUCUGCUGCCACGCACUGCAGGGAUAUGGAGGUGGAGCUGGCAGUAACCCUCUUUUACUACAUCUAGUACCAGGGAAUGUGGAGGAGGGCAUGAAGAUGAUGGUGAGAGAGGCCCCCCUCACCUUUUUCCUAGAACAGUCAGAAUGGCUGGGCUGAGUUUAAGAGAACCCCUUCCCCCAGUCAGAUACAGGGAAUGAAUUCUUGAGUCAUAACACAUUCUAGAGGCUGGUACAAAAUAAGUACACACCAGAAACUGAUUGUUUGGGAAAAUAAUACUUAACCCUCCCACAGCAAUUUAUGCCUUUAAAGCACUAGACAAAUAUUCAUAUUCUCAGAACACCCCACAAGGCAGCUAUUAUUUAUCAGCCUUGCAGAGGGGGAAAGUGACAUGCAGAGAGGUUAUGGCUCAAACUGUUUGGAGAAGGGUGCCUACAGUUAGUAAAUUAUGCAUUUAGGUGCCUAAGUGGCCUGAUUUUCAGAGGUGCUUAGCACCUGCAGCUCCUGGUGAUUUCAAGAUAUAGAGGAUGGAACGCUGGCCCCAUUGAACUCAGUGGCAAAAUUCCUGUUGACUUCCAUGGGUUUAGUAUUUCACAGUGCCAGGAGCACGAUCUUUAUGGGCUACAGUUUUGCAUAUUUUGGUUGCUGUGACUAGUGCUCUUGGACACGGUCCCCUUACAUGCUCUCUACAAACCCUGAGGGGCAUUUCAGUUCCAUUUCUUGUCCCCUUCCCCUCACAGUGACUAGAAAUGUCUAGUCCUUGCCUGAUUACAUGAGUAAAGAAGUUGCUCGUGCCAUUCACAGAGGGAGUCCCACACUGAGAUCCUGCAGCCCACCUAUGGAGCUUACUCCUGGGCCUAGAACCCCUUGAUCCUAGGUCUGAGAACAAUGAAUGUUUUGCCUGCCCCUGUUCUGGUUGUCCAAGCUCAGGCUGAUCAGCAGUCAGCACCAUGGCCCUGUUAUGAAGUCCAAGAGACAGAAAUAGAGAGGGAUGAAAGGACUAGAAUGGCCUUUUCUGCCUAGCUGCCAGCCCCAUCUCUGCCAGGGCCACUGAAUAGCCAAGAGCAAUUUAAGUUUCUGUGGCUGCUCACACGGAUAAGGGAGACAAUGUGCCAUGGUAACUACAGUCUUGAAAGUCAGGUGUGAGGGGAGGGGGCUAUCCAGCUGUGGGGAAUGAAUUUCUGGCACCCUCAAAGGGCCAGUCCAUGUAGGCCCGCUUGCUACAACACGAUAAGGUUGCUGGUCGCUCAGGCCUCCAUGCGAAUCUGGUGUCACUGUGGCAUCGUGCUGGGUGGGAGAAAUUUCUCCAACCAAGAUAAAAGGGUUGUGAUGGCAGAAGUAGAUCAUGCCAAGUGUUACCCCUCUAAUUCAGUGCUGGGGCUGAAUCUUAGUGCUCAUGAAAACACGGGUGCAAGAGCCUUUGGGUUGUGCUAGGGCAGGUUUCUUGUGCUCCCAUCAAUCACGAGAGGUAAGUAAUACCUUCUCUGCCAGCCAGCCCUGCCACUCAAAUUCAGUCUUGAUGAGCAAACCCCUUCUUCAAGAGUCUAGUUCUAGCUCCUCCCACAGCUCUGCCGCAGCACCUCAGUCCUAGGUACAACACGUCUCCAAUUAAGUGACAUUUUGUGGCGAGUAAAAUCAAGCUGAAGUGCAAAGCCAGCUCUCCCAGAGGGAUGAGUGUUACCCUCCUCCAUCCUGAAUUCCCUGUCAUUCUAUCUUCACAACUCUUUCCCAUGCUCCAAAUCCAGUGGUGACAGCAAGUGCUUGGCAACCUCCAAUACCUGCCCGUGCUCUCAUGUGCAGCGUGGGGAGUGUCUGGCCAAGUUGCCGAUUCAGAUGGGAAUGAUCAGGAUACACAGACAGAGGCUUUCACCUAACAGUGGACUGUCCUAAACUCCUGUGUGGUGUUGCUGUUUGUGUAUUUGAUGGUGAGCGUCUUAGUUAUACAGCACCUUUCAUCCCAAAUCAUUCAACAGACUUAAAAUAACCAGAGGUGUCACUUCAGCCACCACUGAAAUGCAGCUGUCUCUGGGAUGAAACAUAGCAGCUGUUUGCCAGCACCAAGCAGCACAGCACACCAGUCGAAGGAAGGGAAGAGGAAUACUUAACAUAACACUGGAUCCGUACUUAAUAAUGGAAGUACUUAGCGCCAUUACAGAGCAAGGCAAUAGCAGUAUUGUUUUCAUGGUGCAGACUGAGGUAUUGUGAAGUGAAUGCCUCAGAUCAGUCAGUUAGCGGUAGAACCCAGGCAUCCUGCCGCUGAAGUCCCACACUCUGCCCCUGCUUUAUCCCUUGCUGCAUGAGUCUGGUGGCCAAAUCCUGCAGAUUUCAAUGAGUUAGGUGGCUCAGUACCUUCGAUGAUCUGUGCAUCUGGGCCUGUUUCCCCAUGGCUCAUGGGGAGAAUAAUCCUUCCUUUCUCUCCUGUACCACAUUUUCUUUAUGUAGACUAACCCUGCCCUUAAGAGUUUAGUCUCUCAUUGUGUGUUGU